GGAAUGCUUAAUAUCCAAGCAGCUUGGGCUCUGUUGUGCUAGAUGCUGCAUUAAGAAAAUAAGACUCUGUACCCAGAGAUUUUUGCAAGCAGUGUAUGGGCCUUUGACAUGAAAAUAUAGCACCUUUAACAUUUGGAAAAGAGGAUGCCUUUCACGUUCCUGUGCACUGAAGUUCUCUAUCUGCCUAGUCACUGAGAUGUGGUCCUGGUCAAGAGGAGCUACCCUUGCGAUCGUGAGCAGCAGAUUUCCAAGUGCUUCACAAAAGGAGGUGAAUAUCAGUUCCAGAGGUGGGCGAACCGAGGCGUAGGGAGCGGCU
Alligator sinensis (Chinese alligator) is the source of this 316-nucleotide long non-coding RNA. RefSeq lists it as uncharacterized. NCBI's taxonomy places the organism in Eukaryota, Metazoa, Chordata, Crocodylia, Alligatoridae. The transcript is spliced from 3 exons. The record is from RefSeq and is a predicted model, not a curated record.